This 2621-nucleotide unclassified non-coding RNA is filed under the name Leishmania donovani. RNAcentral's name for it is "gene:unknown". The record is from RNAcentral. Lineage: Eukaryota; Euglenozoa; Kinetoplastea; Trypanosomatida; Trypanosomatidae.
CUCCCUCCAUCCCUCUUCCAUCCGCCGUAGAGCGCUGUGUGCGUGUGUGAUGGGGUGGUGAUGGUGGUAAGCGGGCACGUGCGCCAUCCACACACACACACACACACACACACACGAUGGCGUGCUUGCCUGUGCGAACGUGAAUAUGGGGAGGCUCGUCGCAAGUGCGCGAUAAUAGCGUACGCUGCAGUCAACCACAGCAGAGGUAAUACGCCGCAGCCCAUGCUUCCUCCUCUCAUUGCCCAUGAGAUCACCGCUCGCGCAACCGCUUCGACAGGAGAGGGUGGGGGAGGGUAGGGCGGCGCGUGUGUGUGCGUGAUCGAACACCCCUUUCUUUCCUUCUCUCUUUCUUCGUUGGCCGCCUUUAGCUUCCGAGGUGGGGCAUCAGUCAAACAAGAAUGGCUGCUUCUGUGGGUGCAAAGAGCGGCGAGAUGAGAGAAGUAGGGGUGCGAGGGACGUAGAGGACGUGCUCCGCCGCCGUGUUGUAGCUCUUACUCGUUGAGUGCAAAGGGAGCACGAGCAAGCUGAGGCGCUUCGGCGGUGUGAGACUGCGAUCUGGGUGCAGAGCAAUUCGCUACGAUGGGCCGAGCAUGUUUCUGCUCCCCCGUCUUCCCUAGUCGUCCGUGACGAGGAGGGGCGGAUACGCAUCUCGCAGUGCGUGGCAUCACAGGGUCCAAGUGCCCCCACACUCUGCGUCGGGGGAGGCCAGGUAGCUCCCCCUCCCCCGUCACCCCUCCCUCCAUCCCUGCCCAUGCCGAACCACUUCUGGUGGUGGCAGGGCCAGGUCGCUACGACGUUGGGGUGGGGGAGACAGAGCGAUGCACCGCCACUGAUGUCGGCGGUGAGGCCGUGGAUGGCACCGCGUUGGAGCCACCUGCGAAGCGAAUGGCGUGCGUGUGGUGUCUGGGUGAGAGGCCGUGCUCUCAGAUGGCUGGGCCGGCGCAUGGCUGCAGCGCGUGCGUCUACGGCUGCUCGGCACCGUGCGAUGGGUGCCGGUGGGGCACGUCUGCAGGGGGUAGAGCGCCGUUUGGGCUCAUGCUGUAUGACAGAGAGCGGCUACGUGGAAGAGAAUCUUCGAUACUCUUCCGCUGUAGUGCCACGACCACCAUCACGGCACGUACGACUGCUCUCUAUCUUUCGCUGUGCGUCGUAGACAAGAAUAGGCAGGAAUGGGAGUAGAGCGGGAAGGCCACACUGCAGGGGCUCGGUGAAUGAUGGACUGACCUGUGGAAUCUACUGCGUUCUUUCUGAGCGUUGCGGCGAUGUGAGCUUCAUUGAGUUGCAAUCUUCAACGAAAUCUAUGUCUGACGUCCCAGGGCGCCUUGUGCAGCGGUUGGCUCGGUGGCUGGCCUUGUCUCUCUCUCUCUGUGCUUGUGUUUGUCUGCGCCGUGCAUGCGUGUGCGCCUGUCCAACUCCCGUCUUUUCACGCUGCAGGCUGUGGGAGGCGGUGGUGCGGUCGGCAGGCCAGCAUGAAGAAGCGCAUGCGAGCGAGUGACCGGAGUCACCCGUAGCGAAGCAGCUCGUGUUACCGCUCGAAUGGAUGCGCUGUGCAUCUGCUCCCGUAUUCGAGGUCUUGUGUGUCAAAGGGUUGCAAGACGACGAGCGAGCUGUGCAGGUGUGCUUGCUUGUAUGAGGGGUUCGGGGGGGGGGAGCAUGAGGCUGCAGGCACUGUGCGGCCUUCCAGCAUCCGCCACCCGCGUCAACGCCACUGUCGUCAUGUGCGAGCGGGAAGGCCACACUGCAGGGGCUCGGUGAAUGAUGGACUGACCUGUGGAAUCUACUGCGUUCUUUCUGAGCGUUGCGGCGAUGUGAGCUUCAUUGAGUUUGCAAUCUUCAACGAAAUCUAUGUCUGACGUCCCAGGGCGCCUUGUGCAGCGGUUGGCUCGGUGGCUGGCCUUGUCUCUCUCUCUGUGCUUGUGUUUGUCUGCGCCGUGCAUGCGUGUGCGCCUGUCCAACUCCCGUCUUUUCACGCUGCAGGCUGUGGGAGGCGGUGGUGCGGUCGGCAGGCCAGCAUGAAGAAGCGCAUGCGAGCGAGUGACCGGAGUCACCCGUAGCGAAGCAGCUCGUGUUACCGCUCGAAUGGAUGCGCUGUGCAUCUGCUCCCGUAUUCGAGGUCUUGUGUGUCAAAGGGUUGCAAGACGACGAGCGAGCUGUGCAGGUGUGCUUGCUUGUAUGAGGGGUUCGGGGGGGGGAGCAUGAGGCUGCAGGCACUGUGCGGCCUUCCAGCAUCCGCCACCCGCGUCAACGCCACUGUCGUCAUGUGCGAGCGGGAAGGCCACACUGCAGGGGCUCGGUGAAUGAUGGACUGACCUGUGGAAUCUACUGCGUUCUUUCUGAGCGUUGCGGCGAUGUGAGCUUCAUUGAGUUGCAAUCUUCAACGAAAUCUAUGUCUGACGUCCCAGGGCGCCUUGUGCAGCGGUUGGCUCGGUGGCUGGCCUUGUCUCUCUCUCUGUGUACGUAGGUUAGUUGCGCGCACCGUUCCAUAUGGCCGUAACGUGCUCCUUUACCUUCCAUUUUUGUAGGCAUCAGUGGGAGGAGGGCGCACGCCGCUUUCGUGUUUCUCUCUCUCAACCGCGUCAGAGGGACAUCAGGGAUAGCGAAAGAAGGAACCGCUCAGGGAC